AUGAGUUCAAAUAUAUGUCUGUCUUCGCUGAAUUGGAGCAAAAAGGACUUGGAGCAGAACUGGAAGGUACCUAGAACCAAGAUGGCAAUAGAGACCUGCCCAGGCCGGACCACUUCCACCCCAGAGGCCGUUCGCCGCCUCCCCACGCAGACCCAAGUUUCCCUCGAGAUCCGGGCGGUUUCCUUGGCACUGGCUGACAUUAGGUAUCCGGGCCACCCGGGCCGUCCCCAGGGAGCGGCAGGGAGCGGCGACAGCCCUGCACGUCGGCCCAAACCUGGCCAAGUUGGGAGGCUCAGAUCGAAUGCCAGGCUGGAAGAACAGACCGGAGGAUUUGGUUUGGGCGAAGGACGCCCCCACGCUCACACACACGCGCACGCGCGCGCACACACUGAGCCUUCCGUGGGGAACCACCCAGGAGCUGUUGACUCCUCACAGGGAAUAUCGGGCGGGGUGGCCGGAAGGGAGCGGGACGGAGCGCUGCGCCCUCCCCGGGGACAGCCGCCUCCUGGCGCGCGCGGCGCUUGCAUCAGCGCUGCCUGGGCAGGGGCAGCGGCCUGGCCACCGGCGACGUCAGCCGCUUUCCCAGAAGAAUUCCACUUCCUGCGGCCCGGCCCGCUGUGCGUGGGCCCGGGGAGGGGGGCGGGUUGGUUUCGCAGGAUGACACCACCUCUUUGCCGCAUCUCCUCAUUCGUACAGUCUGUUGUCAUGGAGACCACAGCAUCCUGGCUGCCUUGGCGAGGCCAACCGGUCCCCGGGAAGUGAGUCCGGCCUUGUCCCAGCCAGAAAACCACUGGCUGUGUUGGGUGCUGGCCGCGGGUUCCGAAUUCUGCCCCCAUUGCUCAUGUAUCAAAAAAUUAAAGCUCUCUUACCCCAGGGUCUUAGAACCAACUCUGAGAAUUUCAGAAUAUUUCCGCCUAGAAAAGAGCCCAGACAGCACACUGCUGGCAGAAGUGGCUUUCUAAUCCUCUGUGGUUUGGUGUUUUUCCUAGCUUUUUUUCACCCAUGGAGAGCUUUCCCGUGGAUCUUUUAAGAUUCGCUGGCCUCGUGCAUUCUUGGUGAAACGUUUGUUUCAAUUCACUUUGGCAAAUACUUACUGAGUACACACAAUUGCUCGGCAGGGGGAGGGGGCUGUGAUAAUUAUAGCCGCAAGUGUGUAGGGAACACUUGCAAAGUUGCACAGGCAUAAACUCAGCCAGUCCUCGGCAUGACUUUAGGAGGUAGGUGCUGGCCCCAUGCUGCAGCAAAGAGGACAGUGACUGCGCAGUUAGUGUGAGCUGCCAAGGAAGCAAAAUCAGAU
RNAcentral lists this long non-coding RNA (1297 nucleotides) under Fukomys damarensis (Damara mole-rat). RNAcentral's name for it is "lncRNA (ENSFDAG00000028557.1)". The record is from RNAcentral. Lineage: Eukaryota; Metazoa; Chordata; Mammalia; Rodentia; Bathyergidae.